GAAACCAACAGGGAUUGCCCCAGUAACGGCGAGUGAAGCGGCAACAGCUCAAAUUUGAAAUCUGGCCCCCCGGCCCGAGUUGUAAUUUGGAGAGGAUGCUUUUGGCGCGGCGCCGUCCGAGUUCCUUGGAACAGGACGCCACAGAGGGUGAGAGCCCCGUACGGACGGACGCCUAGCCUCUACAAAGCUCCUUCGACGAGUCGAGUAGUUUGGGAAUGCUGCUCAAAAUGGGAGGUAAAUUUCUUCUAAAGCUAAAUACCGGCCAGAGACCGAUAGCGCACAAGUAGAGUGAUCGAAAGAUGAAAAGCACUUUGAAAAGAGGGUUAAAAAGUACGUGAAAUUGUUGAAAGGGAAGCGCCUGUGACCAGACUUGCGCCCCGUGGACCACCCGGCGUUCUCGCCGGUGCACUCCGCGGGGCGCAGGCCAGCAUCGGUUUUCCUAGGGGGACAAAGGCCGCGGGAACGUAGCUCCUUCGGGAGUGUUAUAGCCCGCGGCGGCAUGCCCCUGGGGGGACCGAGGACCGCGCUUCGGCAAGGAUGCUGGCGUAAUGGUCACCAGCGACCCGUCUUGAAACACGGACCAAGGAGUCAAGCAUUGGGGCGAGUGUAUGGGUGCCAAACCCGCACGCGAAAUGAAAGUAAACGCAGGUGAGAGCUUCGGCGCAUCAUCGACCGAUCCUGAUGUCUUCGGAUGGAUUUGAGUAAGAGCCUUACCGCUUGGACCCGAAAGAUGGUGAACUAUGCCUGAAUAGGGUGAAGCCAGAGGAAACUCUGGUGGAGGCUCGCAGCGGUUCUGACGUGCAAAUCGAUCGUCAAAUUUGGGCAUGGGGGGCGAAAGACUAAUCGAACCAUCUAGUAGCUGGUUACCGCCGA
Molecule: ribosomal RNA, 873 nt
Filed under: Sporothrix pallida
Lineage: Eukaryota; Fungi; Ascomycota; Sordariomycetes; Ophiostomatales; Ophiostomataceae
Description: LSU rRNA
Rfam family: Eukaryotic large subunit ribosomal RNA
Source: RNAcentral